Molecule: ribosomal RNA, 253 nt
Filed under: uncultured bacterium
Lineage: Bacteria
Description: partial 16S ribosomal RNA
Rfam family: Bacterial small subunit ribosomal RNA
Source: RNAcentral
GACGUAGGGCGCGAGCGUUGUCCGGAGUUACUGGGCGUAAAGGGCAUGCAGGCGGUCGGACGCGUUUCGGGUGACAGCGGGUGGCUUAACUACCCGAGUGGUCGAAAGACGGUUUGACUUGAGGACGCGAGAGGGACACGGAAUUCCGGGUGGAGUGGUGAAAUGCGUAGAGAUCCGGAGGAACACCGCAGGCGAAGGCAGUGUCCUGGCGCGUAACUGACGCUGAGGUGCGAAAGCCAGGGGAGCGAACGGG